This 325-nucleotide ribosomal RNA is filed under the name uncultured eukaryote. RNAcentral's name for it is "partial 18S ribosomal RNA". It matches the Rfam family "Eukaryotic small subunit ribosomal RNA", at positions 1470 to 1796 of the family's 1831-position model. The record is from RNAcentral.
CCCUUAGACGUUCUGGGCCGCACGCGCGCUACACUGACCAGUGCAACAAGCAUCCGUCCUUGGCCGACAGGCCCGGGCAAUCUUUGAACGCUGGUCGUGAUGGGGAUAGACUUUUGCAAUUUUUGGUCUUCAACGAGGAAUUCCUAGUAAACGCAAGUCAUCAACUUGCAUUGAUUACGUCCCUGCCCUUUGUACACACCGCCCGUCGCACCUACCGAUUGAGUGAUCCGGUGAAUUAGUCGGAUGGUGUUUGGCAUCAGUAUCUGCUGUCAUACGCCAGAAGUCUUGUGAACCUUAUCACUUAGAGGAAGGAGAAGUCGUAACA